UACGUAGGGUGCGAGCGUUGUCCGGAAUUAUUGGGCGUAAAGAGCUCGUAGGCGGUCUGUCGCGUCUGCUGUGAAAACCCGAGGCUCAACCUCGGGCCUGCAGUGGGUAUGGGCAGACUAGAGUGCGGUAGGGGAGAAUGGAACUCCUGGUGUAGCGGUGGAAUGCGCAGAUAUCAGGAAGAACACCGAUGGCGAAGGCAGUUCUCUGGGCCGUAACUGACGCUGAGGAGCGAAAGCGUGGGGAGCGAACAGG
Molecule: ribosomal RNA, 253 nt
Filed under: uncultured bacterium
Lineage: Bacteria
Description: partial 16S ribosomal RNA
Rfam family: Bacterial small subunit ribosomal RNA
Source: RNAcentral